ACUUUCAACAAUGGAUCUCUUGGCUCUCGCAUCAAUAAAAAACGCACCGAAAUGCAAUAAUUAAUAUGAAUUGCAAAAUUCCGUGAAUCAUCAAAUUUUUGAACGCAAAUUGCACUUCUUGGUAUUCCGAGGAGUACACAUGCUUGAGGGUCAGUU
RNAcentral lists this ribosomal RNA (156 nucleotides) under Gigaspora margarita. RNAcentral's name for it is "5.8S ribosomal RNA". It matches the Rfam family "5.8S ribosomal RNA". From Rfam's summary of the family: 5.8S ribosomal RNA (5.8S rRNA) is a component of the large subunit of the eukaryotic ribosome. It is transcribed by RNA polymerase I as part of the 45S precursor that also contains 18S and 28S rRNA. Lineage: Eukaryota; Fungi; Glomeromycota; Glomeromycetes; Diversisporales; Gigasporaceae. The record is from RNAcentral.